RNAcentral lists this ribosomal RNA (498 nucleotides) under uncultured bacterium. RNAcentral's name for it is "partial 16S ribosomal RNA". It matches the Rfam family "Bacterial small subunit ribosomal RNA", at positions 28 to 507 of the family's 1533-position model. The record is from RNAcentral.
GACGAACGCUGGCGGCGUGCCUAAUACAUGCAAGUCGAACGAGAGCAACCGGUGCUUGCACUGGUCAAUCUAGUGGCGAACGGGUGGGUAACACGUGGGUAACCUGCCCAUCAGAGGGGGAUAACAUCCGGAAACGGAUGCUAAAACCGCAUAGGUCUUCGAACCGCAUGGUUUGAAGAGGAAAAGAGGCGCACGCUUCUGCUGAUGGAUGGACCCGCGGUGCAUUAGCUAGUUGGUGAGGUAACGGCUCACCAAGGCCGUGAUGCAUAGCCGACCUGAGAGGGUGAUCGGCCACAUUGGGACUGAGACACGGCCCAAACUCCUACGGGAGGCAGCAGUAGGGAAUCUUCCGCAAAGGACGCAAGUCUGACGGAGCAACGCCGCGUGAGUGAAGAAGGUUUUCGGAUCGUAAAACUCUGUUGUUAGAGAAGAACAAGUGCUAGAGUAACUGUUAGCGCCUUGACGGUAUCUAACCAGAAAGCCACGGCUAACUACGUG